RNAcentral lists this long non-coding RNA (1347 nucleotides) under Salmo salar (Atlantic salmon). RNAcentral describes it as "lncRNA (ENSSSAG00000089114.1)". Lineage: Eukaryota; Metazoa; Chordata; Actinopteri; Salmoniformes; Salmonidae. The record is from RNAcentral.
UAGUCUUCAGGGUGGUAGUAGUCUUCAGGGUGGUAGUAGUCUUCAGGGUGGUAGUAGUCUUCAGGGUGGUAGUAGUCCUGGGGGUGGUAGUAGUCUUUAGGGUGGUAGUAGUCUUCAGGGUGGUAGUAGUCUUUAGGGUGGUAGUAGUCUAGGGCGGUAGUAGUCUUUAGGGUGGUAGUAGUCUUCAGAGUGGUAGUAGUCUAGGGUGGUAGUAGUCUUUAGGGUGGUAGUAGUCUAGGGCGGUAGUAGUCCUGGGGGUGUUAGUAUUCUUUAGGGUGGUAGUAGUCUUGGGGUGGUAGUAGUCCUGGGGGUGGUAGUAGUCUUUAGGGUGGUAGUAGUCUUUAGGGUGGUAGUAGUCUUUAGGGUGGUAGUAGUCUAGGGUGUUAGUAGUCUUUAGGGUGGUAGUAGUCUUCAGAGUGGUAGUAGUCUAGGGUGGUAGUAGUCUUUAGGGUGGUAGUAGUCUUGGGGUGGUAGUAGUCCUGGGGGUGGUAGUAGUCUUGGGGGUGGUAGUAGUCUUGGGGGUGGUAGUAGUCUUGGGGGUGGUAGUAGUCCUGGGGGUGGUAGUAGUCUUGGGGGUGGUAGUAGUCUUCAGGGUGGUAGUAGUCUUCAGGGUGGUAGUUGUCUUCAGGGUGAUAGGAGUCUUUAGGGUGGUAGGAGUCUUCAGGGUGGUAGUAGUCUUCAGGGUGGUAGCAGUCUUGGGGGUGGUAGUAGUCUUUGGUGUGUUAGUAGUCUUGGGGGUGGUAGUAGUCCUGGGGGUGGUAGUAGUCUUGGGGGUGGUAGUAGUCUUGGGGGUGGUAGUAGUCCUGAGGGUGGUAGUAGUCUUGGGGGUGGUAGUAGUCUUGGGGGUGGUAGUAGUCUAGGGCGGUAGUAGUCUUUAGGGUGGUAGUAGUCUUUAGGGUGGUAGUAGUCUUCAGAGUGGUAGUAGUCUAGGGUGGUAGUAGUCUUUAGGGUGGUAGUAGUCUAGGGCGGUAGUAGUCCUGGGGGUGUUAGUAUUCUUUAGGGUGGUAGUAGUCUGGGGUGGUAGUAGUCUUUAGGGUGGUAGUAGUCUUUAGGGUGGUAGUAGUCUAGGGUGGUAGUAGUCUUUAGGGUGGUAGUAGUCUAGGGUGGUAGUAGUCUUUAGCGUGGUAGUAGUCUUCAGAGUGGUAGUAGUCUAGGGUGGUAGUAGUCUUUAGGGUGGUAGUAGUCUUGAGGGUGGUAGUAGUCUUCAGAGUGGUAGUAGUCUAGGGUGGUAGUAGUCUUUAGGGUGGUAGUUGUCUAGGGCGGUAGUAGUCCUGGGGGUGUUAGUAUUUUUUAGGGUGGUAGUAGUCUUGGGGUGGUGGUAGUCCUGGUGGUGGUAGUAGUCUUUAG